CGCAACCCUUAUCCCUAGUUGCCAGUCAGGUAAAGCUGGGAACUCUGGGGAGACUGCCGGUGAGUAAACCGGAGGAAGGCGGGGAUGACGUCAAGUCCUCAUGGCCCUUACAUCCCGGGCUACACACGUGCUACAAUGGCAGGUACAGAGGGCUGCGAAGCCGCGAGGUGGAGCGAAAUCCCAGAAAACCUGUCUCAGUCCGGAUUGAAGUCUGCAACUCGACUUCAUGAAGGCGGAAUCGCUAGUAACCGCGAAUCAGCAGGUCGCGGUGAAUACGUUCCCGGGCCUU
RNAcentral lists this ribosomal RNA (289 nucleotides) under uncultured Latescibacterota bacterium. RNAcentral's name for it is "uncultured Latescibacteria bacterium partial 16S ribosomal RNA". It matches the Rfam family "Bacterial small subunit ribosomal RNA", at positions 1097 to 1382 of the family's 1533-position model. The record is from RNAcentral. Lineage: Bacteria; Pseudomonadati; Candidatus Latescibacterota.